GGGGAAUCUUGCGCAAUGGGCGAAAGCCUGACGCAGCAACGCCGCGUGCGGGAUGAAGGCCUUCGGGUUGUAAACCGCUUUCAGCAGGGACGAAAAUGACGGUACCUGCAGAAGAAGCCCCGGCUAACUACGUGCCAGCAGCCGCGGUAAUACGUAGGGGGCAAGCGUUGUCCGGAUUUAUUGGGCGUAAAGGGCUCGUAGGCGGUUCCGUAAGACGAGUGUGAAAAAUCUGGGCUCAACCCAGUGGAGCACUCGAUACUGCGGUGACUAGAGUACGGUAGAGGAGUGUGGAAUUCCUGGUGUAGCGGUGAAAUGCGCAGAUAUCAGGAGGAACACCAACGGCGAAGGCAGCACUCUGGGCCGGUACUGACGCUGAGGAGCGAAAGCGUGGGGAGCAAAC
RNAcentral lists this ribosomal RNA (400 nucleotides) under uncultured bacterium. Its description in RNAcentral is "bacterial SSU rRNA". It matches the Rfam family "Bacterial small subunit ribosomal RNA", at positions 356 to 773 of the family's 1533-position model. The record is from RNAcentral.